RNAcentral lists this ribosomal RNA (527 nucleotides) under uncultured bacterium. RNAcentral describes it as "partial 16S ribosomal RNA". The stretch from base 1 to 254 matches the Rfam family "Bacterial small subunit ribosomal RNA", at positions 1284 to 1533 of the family's 1533-position model. The record is from RNAcentral.
GGUCCCAGUUCGGAUUGAGGUCUGCAACUCGACCUCAUGAAGUCGGAAUCGCUAGUAAUCGCAUAUCAGAACGAUGCGGUGAAUACGUUCCCGGGCCUUGUACACACCGCCCGUCACACCACGAAAGUUUGUUGUACCCGAAGUCGGUGCCUUAACCUCGCAAGAGGAGAGAGCCGCCCAAGGUAUGGCCGAUGAUUGGGGUGAAGUCGUAACAAGGUAGCCGUAGGGGAACCUGCGGCUGGAUCACCUCCUUUCUAGGAGAGAAGGGUCCUGGAUGAAGCGCUCCUAUUUAGUAUUGUGAAGGAUCCGAGUGGAAGCCGGGACCGGAGAGAAACCGGGCCUGUAGCUCAGAUGGUGAGAGCGCACGCCUGAUAAGCGUGAGGUCGAUAGUUCGAAUCUAUCCAGGCCCACCAUCUGCGGGGAUGUAGCUCAGUUGGGAGAGCGCCUGCUUUGCAAGCAGGAGGUCAGCGGUUCGAUCCCGCUCAUCUCCACCACGGAGAAGGAAAACGAGCCGGAGGCAAGGAGAG